Long non-coding RNA from Nycticebus coucang (slow loris), 4268 nucleotides. RefSeq lists it as uncharacterized. Lineage: Eukaryota; Metazoa; Chordata; Mammalia; Primates; Lorisidae. The record is from RefSeq and is a predicted model, not a curated record. The transcript is spliced from 3 exons.
UGGGCCUCAUCACUUCAGUCCCGUCCUGCUCAUAGCACAAGGACACCCCGACUGCAUUUCCAGGCCCCGGUCCCAAGCAGGCCCAUGCACUGGUUGGAGUCUGUGGUGCUUGGCACACUACAAAGCUACAAGAGAGCUCAUGGCUGAAACAGAAGCGCUGGACAACCAGAUGGCCGGGGACAGGGUACAGAGAGUGCAGAGGCAGCAUUCCUGACCCAGCCUGGGCUCCUCAGCAUGGCUGCAGCUGUGUCCACCCCACACAAACAUGGCUUUACCCCAGCUCCUCGGUCUCUGCCACUGGUGGCACCCUCUCCUGGAUGCUGUAGUUCUGAGUCUGGUCAGCUAGAGCUCCCCGCCUUGGACCUUGCUUCCACGCACAGCAACUGGGCUCUGGGGUGGGCCAAACCUGUGUCCACUGCUCUGGCUUCCUCAGUUUAACUACCCAAGGACAACCACACUUUCAGGUGGUUGGAGGUCAUCACAGAUGAGGAAACAGGAUGGGAGGCUGAGGGUGGCAGGUGGGAGGGUAGGGGGGUGGGCUGCUGGCUGCAGGCUUAUCUCAGUGGCAGAACAGAGGCCCCAUGUGAGGCCAGACUACAGAUGAACAGGAUAGUGCCACCUUUCCUCGGCCACUCACAACACUGAGCAACACCUGACACAUGUGCACACUUGCUCGCCAGGGCUCACACUCACACAUGCAGAUGCAGGCCCAUGCCCACCUGCUCAACUGUGCUUACAUGCAUGCUGACACACACACACAGAUAAGAAAGCCCAUGCACGCUUGCUCACUGUGCUCACACACAUGCAUACUGACACACACAGAUGUAAGCCCACGUACGCCUGCUCACUGUGCUGACACACUCGUGCUGACACACACAGAAGUAAACCCAUGCACACUUGCUCACUGUGCUCACACACGUAUACUGACACACACACACAGAUGUAAGCCCAUGUACGCCUGCUCACUGUGCUCACACACAUGCAUGCUGACACACACACACAUAAGCCCAUGCACGCCUGCUCACUGUGCUCACACACAUGCACACCCACUUACAUGUGCACAGAUGUGGUCCAGGGGGCCAGAGUAGGGAGGGAAAAAGAGAUGGGCAAUGGGACCAGUAAGCUUUUGCUUUUCUCCAUGACAGCCAAAGAAGAAUAACAGAAACCCAGUCCCUAAAUAAGAGAGUCAGAAAAGCAAGAAACUAAUUCUGCUCCUUCUCGAAGAAUAUAAAAGGACAAGUGGACAGGCUCGGUGCCUGUAGCUCAAGCGGCUAAGGCGCCAACCACAUACACCGGAGCUGGCAAGUUCAAAUCCAGCCUGGGCCUGCCGAACAACAAUGACAACUACAACAAAAAACAGCCAGGCAUUGUGGCGGGCGCCUGUACUCCCAGCUACUUGGGAGGCGAAGGUUAAGAGAAUCGCUUAAGCCCAGAAGUUGGAGGUUGCUGUGAGCUGUGAUGCUACAUCACUCUACCCAGGGUGACAGCUUGAGGCUCUGUCUCAAAAAAAAAAAAAAAAGGACAAGUGGGCAAAAUACCAAAACAACGCCUCCAUCUCUAGGAUUGUGAUACAUUCUGGCUCAGAACCAGAACCAGCUGAGGCCAGAAUGAGGGAGAAUCCCAACUAGAUGGGAGGCAAGCAGAGUGGUGGCGAGGAGGGCAUGAAGGGACGUCCUCCUAGAAGCCUUCCCAUGGGGCACAUCACUGGGGGAAGUGAGCAAGGCCCGCCCUGGGCCCAGGGAGGCGCACUUCUCAGCACUGGCUCUUAGGCGCUGCUUGCAAAUGCUUGUCACUUUGAAAAAUGUUAAGGCAAAAAAGGGCAGCGUGACAUUCAUCCGGUAACUUCUGAAUGAAGCCCUGGAGAAGAAGGCUAUUUCUAUCCUAGGCAUUCUAAGAAAAAAAUGUAAAGAUUUUCUAAAAAGUCCAGGUGUUUUAACCACUUACUCAAGAGAAUCCCGCAGCCAAUGUGCGUCUCUGAAGACCCUUGCAGCUUGGGGGAUUCUUAGAGGUUAGAGGCUGGAAAGCAGGUUCUUAGUACAAGCAAGCCCCCUGGGACCUCGUCACAAGUCUAGGAGAGCCAAGGGUGACUUACCCACAUGAGGUCUCCAUUGCUCUGUGGCUUCUUUUCCUGUCCAGGGCAGCAAAGUCCAGGGAUUCAGUGGGACCCUCAACCUCUGCCCUUAGAUACUUUUGCUAAUGUCACUCAACAGGCAGGAGUUAGAGCAGGUGUUGAAAUCCAGGUUUCCAGGCUAGAGCCCCCCUCUUCCUGCAGGGGGUUUGAGCCCCCGGAACAGGCUUGGCUUUGAAGCCCCACUGUCCCCGCUCAGAUGUCUGGGUCUGCUUCUGCACUAAUGGGCUAGAAGAGUCAAAGAAUGAAGCUGAUUUCUGCAGGCCCAAACUGAGCCCCGCUGACAGCAUCUUCUAGUGGGGAUGGGGCCCUGUGCUCUUGCCUUCCGAUCUUGGCAAUGUAGUAAACGGGUUUUGAGCUAAGACCCCAAGUCAGAUUCUCAGAGACACUGGGACCCAGUAACUUAAUGUCCAAUACCCACUACCUCCUCCCCACCAUGAUGACCCAGUGAGGCUACACCUGCCCUAUGACCCUCCAGCUCAGAGGCCAUGGGUGACGGUCUGGGGUGGGGGUGCCUGGUGCCUAGCGUGGGCUGCUCCAGAGACUAAGUGAAGAGAAGCUGCUAGCUAGCCACCUGGACACACUGUUGGGACUGACCACCUGCUCCACAGGGCUGCUAGUGCCUUGGAAGCACCCACUGCCACCCUCAGGAAAUGCUCUAGGCUGCCCAGACUACAGGGGUAUGCGCAGCAUCCAUGGUUGCAUGGGCAGCAUAGACUGGCCACUGUGCUGCUCUCCACUUGCUGAAAGGACAGCUUGAUGUCAUCAACUUCUGGGCCUUUAAUUAAGCCCUAAACUUAGGCCACUUGAAUUUCUCUGAUGGCUCUGGCUCCUUCUAAUCCAUAAUAGAUUAAAUGGUGUCGUUUGCCUGGAACCCAUGAACGUGAACAUAUUUGGAAAAGGGUCUUUGCAGAUGUGAUUAAGUUAGAUUCUAAAAUGAGAUCAUCCUCGAUUAUGGGGGGGGGCCUGAAUCCCAUGACAAAUCUUAUAAAGGGAGAAGACAUGGAGGAGGCCACGUGAAGACAGGCAGAGACUACAGUGACACAGUCACAAGCCAAGGACACCUGGGGCCACCAGGAGCUGAAAGAGGCUGCCCUGAGCAGGCCAGGAGCACCACCCUGUCCAUAUCUUGAUCUCAGACUUCUGGCCUCCGGACCAUGAAAGUACAGAUUCCUGUUGUUUUAAGAUACCGAGCUGUGGCACUUUGUACGGCAGUCCUGGUAAACUGACACUUAACCCCAGUUAUUUCCCUGUUUUCAUCCCAAUAGUAGGCAGUGGGGCAAGAGCGGGCUGUGAGGCUGCCCUGAGGACACUAGGCUCUCUGCCCCCACAGGGGACACAGGCUCUCUGCAGACGUAGAGAGGAAGCACCCGAGGCGUUCUUCUCCCAUGAGGACAGAGUCCCGGCAGCAUUUGGUAGGGGGACAGCAGGCAGGCCACAUUGCAUUCCAUCCACUCCUCACCUUUCCUUCUUCUCUCACUGAGAAUCCAAGCCAGAGCAGUGGAGAAGUCCCCCAAGGUCUACCUGUCCUUGGCACAGGCUUGACCCUGUUCCUGCCCUCCUUGCUCUCUGAAAACCCCAAUUCAUUCUGCUGGCCACUGUCCCCACUGCCCAUGCUGCUCACAUUAGCAUGUUCCUUUCAGCCACUGAAAUGUACCUUGGACUCAAGCACAGGAACAAAAUCCGUACACAGGAUCAAGGUCCCUCUCCUCUCUCUGUGGUAGGAUGCUUUCAUCAGCCUAGCCCAGGGCAGGGCGCUCCCUGUGCACGGCAGAAUAGGACUCAAGAGUGGUGUGCUCAGAGGACCUUGUGGGAAGUGUCCAGUUGGGACAACGGACACAAGCUGAGCCCAAUACAAAGAGCACAAGGAACCCUGGCACCAUCCUGCUAACAGGGACUGUGCCUGGUUGGCAGACCUCUGGCCUUCAGUGCUGCAUGAGAGGACAUUCUGUUGCUUAAACCGCCCAGUCUGCAGUGCUGUGUCGUGGCAGCCCCAGCACAGUCAGACGCUGCAGGGCCGAAUGCCCAUGAGGACAGCACGCUUGGCCGCUCCACUUCUGCCUGCUGAUCACUUGCUGCAUGUCAGUCAGCAUCCUGACUGCACCUGAGGGUGCUGCCUGGUGGGGAGCAAGGCUGUCCC